GCUGGGCGGCAUGCCUAACACAUGCAAGUCGAACGAGACCUUCGGGUCUAGUGGCGCGACGGGUGCGUAACGCGUGGAACCUGCCUUUAGGUUCGGAAUAACUCAGAGAAAUUUGAGCUAAUACCGGAUAAUGUCUCGGACCAAAGAUUUAUCGCCUUUAGAUGGGCCCGCGUUGGAUUAGCUAGUUGGUGGGGUAAAGGCCUACCAAGGCGACGAUCCAUAGCUGGUCUGAGAGGAUGAUCAGCCACACUGGGACUGAGACACGGCCCAGACUCCUACGGGAGGCAGCAGUGGGGAAUAUUGGACAAUGGGGCGAAAGCCUGAUCCAGCAAUGCCGCGUGAGUGAUGAAGGCCUUAGGGUUGUAAAGCUCUUUUACCCGAGAUGAUAAUGACAGUAUCGGGAGAAUAAGCUCCGGCUAACUCCGUG
RNAcentral lists this ribosomal RNA (427 nucleotides) under uncultured bacterium. RNAcentral describes it as "bacterial SSU rRNA". It matches the Rfam family "Bacterial small subunit ribosomal RNA", at positions 38 to 507 of the family's 1533-position model. The record is from RNAcentral.